This 63-nucleotide transfer RNA is filed under the name Creontiades dilutus (green mirid). RNAcentral describes it as "tRNA-Thr". It matches the Rfam family "tRNA". From Rfam's summary of the family: Transfer RNA (tRNA) molecules are approximately 80 nucleotides in length. The record is from RNAcentral. Lineage: Eukaryota; Metazoa; Arthropoda; Insecta; Hemiptera; Miridae.
GUUUUAAUAGUUUAACUAAAAAUAAUGGUCUUGUAAACCAUAGAUAGAUUUAUCUUUAAAACU